CCUACGGGAGGCAGCAGUGGGGAAUCUUCCGCAAUGGGCGCAAGCCUGACGGAGCAACGCCGCGUGAGUGAAGAAGGUCUUCGGAUCGUAAAGCUCUGUUGAAGGGGACGAACGUAUAUAGUGCGAAUAGUGCUGUGUAAUGACGGUACCUUUUGAGGAAGCCACGGCUAACUACGUGCCAGCAGCCGCGGUAAUACGUAGGUGGCGAGCGUUGUCCGGAAUCAUUGGGCGUAAAGGGAGCGCAGGCGGCCAUGUAAGUCUUGCUUAAAAGUUCGGGGCUCAACCCCGUGAUGGGCAAGAAACUAUAUGGCUUGAGUGCAGGAGAGGAAAGCGGAAUUCCCAGUGUAGCGGUGAAAUGCGUAGAUAUUGGGAGGAACACCAGUGGCGAAGGCGGCUUUCUGGAC
This 404-nucleotide ribosomal RNA is filed under the name uncultured Slackia sp. RNAcentral's name for it is "bacterial SSU rRNA". It matches the Rfam family "Bacterial small subunit ribosomal RNA", at positions 338 to 734 of the family's 1533-position model. Lineage: Bacteria; Bacillati; Actinomycetota; Coriobacteriia; Eggerthellales; Eggerthellaceae. The record is from RNAcentral.